ACGCUCGACACCUACGGGGGCAGCAGUGAGGGAUAUUGGUCAAUGGGGGGAACCCUGAACCAGCAACGCCGCGUGAGGGAUGACGGUCUUCGGAUUGUAAACCUCUGUCCUCUGUGAAGAUAAUGACGGUAGCAGAGGAGGAAGCUCCGGCUAACUACGUGUCAGCAGCCGCGGUAAUCUGAGCGGGCUGGCAAGGC
Molecule: ribosomal RNA, 197 nt
Filed under: uncultured bacterium
Lineage: Bacteria
Description: partial 16S ribosomal RNA
Rfam family: Bacterial small subunit ribosomal RNA
Source: RNAcentral